RNAcentral lists this ribosomal RNA (773 nucleotides) under uncultured Neocallimastigales. RNAcentral describes it as "partial large subunit ribosomal RNA". It matches the Rfam family "Eukaryotic large subunit ribosomal RNA", at positions 24 to 627 of the family's 3401-position model. The record is from RNAcentral. Lineage: Eukaryota; Fungi; Neocallimastigomycota; Neocallimastigomycetes; Neocallimastigales.
AUCUCUGUAGAGUCUGCAUAUCAAUAAGCGGAGGAAAAGAAACUAACUAGGAUUCCCUCAGUAACGGCGAGUGAAGCGGGAAGAGCUCAAAUUUGAAAUCUUCAAGGUUCUACCUUGACGAAUUGUAGUUUAAAGAAGUGUUUUCUGUUGGAGUUUUGGUAAAAGUUCUUUGGAAUAGGACAUCAUAGAGGGUGAGAAUCCCGUAUUUGACCAUUAUUUCCAGCUUUGUGAUACACUUUCAAAGAGUCGGAUUGUUUGGGAAUGCAGUCCAAAAUGGGUGGUAAAUUUCAUCUAAAGCUAAAUAUUGGCGAGAGACCGAUAGCGAACAAGUACCGUGAGGGAAAGAUGAAAAGAACUUUGAAAAGAGAGUUAAACAGUACGUGAAAUUGUCAAAAGGGAAGCGUUUGACACCAGUGUUGUUUUCUCGAAAAUCAAUUAAAAAAGGCAGGAUUUUGUGUUGUAUUGACUUUAUCAGCUUUCUGCACUCUUUUCUUGUCUUUUUUAAUGCACUUUUCGUUUAACAAGUCAACAUCAAUUUCUUUUGUUGUAAAAGGGUCAUUGGAAGGUGGCUUUCUUUUCGGAGAAAGUGUUUAUAGCCUUUGGCCUCUGCAAUCGGAGAGAUUGAGGUCUGCAGCGUAGAUCCUUCGGGGUUAGAUACAUUUGUGCUAAGUUAUAGCCUUUCAUAGACAACUUGUUGACUAAGAUCAGUCAUGUAGCUUACUCGCUUAUGCUAUUUUACCUACGCUUAGGAUGUUGACGAUCAGCUGAGCGCG